RNAcentral lists this long non-coding RNA (873 nucleotides) under Strigops habroptila (Kakapo). Its description in RNAcentral is "lncRNA (ENSSHBG00005007670.1)". The record is from RNAcentral. Lineage: Eukaryota; Metazoa; Chordata; Aves; Psittaciformes; Psittacidae.
GGCAGCGGGCCGGGCGGGCGGUGCGAGGUGGCUGCUGCCGCUCCGGGCUCCAGGCCCAGGCCCGGGCCCCGCCGCUCCCGGGGCCAUGGAGUUCCCGCCCGCUCUCUUCCCGUCCCCGUUCGGCUCCGGCCCGCCCCGGCAGGAGGGUGUCCCCGCCGCGGCCGCGGGCUGGGGGGAGCGCGGGCAGGUGCUGGAGGCCGGUCCCGGCGCGGCGCUCGCCUCCCGCCGCCUGUCCCCGCAGGCCGAGCCGGCGUUCGUGCCCCGCCGCGGCGGGACGGGCGAGAGCUGGGACCCCGCCUGCGCCGCCGCCGUGCCCUGCCUGCCUCCUAACGCGAGUGAGCGCCGCGGGAGGGCGGCGCUGCCCGUCCCACCCGCACCGCUGCGGCUCGGGAUCCACCGGCGGCUUUAGCGGCUCCCCCCUCCCCCCACGGUGUGUUGGCGCAGGGGGAGCCGCCGCCUGCUGGUGCCAUAGCGGCCCCUUCGCUCUCCCCGCAGGCUGCUGGGUCCCCUCGCUCGCCCCUCAGGACAUCCUGUACCGCGGCAUGCUGCGCAGGAAGCUCCGGGAAGGCAGGUCCGGAGCCACCCUGGACUUCAGCAAGCAGCUGGGCCAUUUCUUUGUGGAUCACCCAGAAGAUGCGUUUGGCUCCCUGGGGCAGCUGCUGCACAAGAACUUCCACUUGGGCAACUCCAUCCUGAGGAGGCCGGCCCGGGAAAGCACCAUCCGGAUGACAGCUUUGAUGGAGGAUAUCGAGCGUCUGGAGGCCAGGCGUGGCUGCCCCCGGCGGCAGCAGCUCGUGCCCCGCCUGCGCUGGUUCUCCCACCUCUGCCGGGACUGGCUGUUCGAGGUGCCGCUGGGGCUGCUGGCAGACUGCG